UACGUAGGUGGCAAGCGUUGUCCGGAUUUACUGGGUGUAAAGGGCGUGCAGCCGGGAAGACAAGUCAGAUGUGAAAUCCCGCGGCUCAACCGCGGAACUGCAUUUGAAACUGUUUUUCUUGAGUACCGGAGAGGUCAUCGGAAUUCCUUGUGUAGCGGUGAAAUGCGUAGAUAUAAGGAAGAACACCAGUGGCGAAGGCGGAUGACUGGACGGCAACUGACGGUGAGGCGCGAAAGCGUGGGGAGCAAAUAGG
RNAcentral lists this ribosomal RNA (253 nucleotides) under uncultured bacterium. RNAcentral describes it as "partial 16S ribosomal RNA". It matches the Rfam family "Bacterial small subunit ribosomal RNA", at positions 524 to 776 of the family's 1533-position model. The record is from RNAcentral.